Molecule: ribosomal RNA, 390 nt
Filed under: uncultured bacterium
Lineage: Bacteria
Description: bacterial SSU rRNA
Rfam family: Bacterial small subunit ribosomal RNA
Source: RNAcentral
AGCGAACGUUUGCGGCGGGCCUAACACAUGCAAGUCGAACGGGCAGUCCCUUCGGGGGCUGUCAGUGGCGCACGGGUGCGUAACACGUAGGUAAUCAACCCUCGGGUUCGGGAUAACACUUCGAAAGGGUGCUAAUACCGGAUGCGACGAGCGUCUCCUCGGAGAUGCACGGGAAAGAUCCGCAAGGGUCGCCCGAGGACGAGCCUGCGGCCCAUCAGCUUGUUGGUGAGGUAAUGGCUCACCAAGGCUAAGACGGGUGGCUGGUCUGAGAGGAUGAUCAGUCACACUGGAACUGAGACACGGUCCAGACUCCUACGGGAGGCAGCAGUGGGGAAUAUUGCGCAAUGGGCGAAAGCCUGACGCAGCCACGCCGCGUGAGCGAUGAAGGCC